AGAUUAAGUUAUUAAGGGCGCACGGUGGAUGCCUUGGCACUAGAAGCCGAUGAAGGACGUUACUAACGACGAUAUGCUUUGGGUAGCUGUAAGUAAGCGUUGAUCCAGAGAUUUCCGAAUGGGGGAACCCAGCAUGAGUUAUGUCAUGUUAUCGACAUGUGAAUUCAUAGCAUGUCAGAAGGCAGACCCGGAGAACUGAAACAUCUUAGUACCCGGAGGAAGAGAAAGAAAAAUCGAUUCCCUGAGUAGCGGCGAGCGAAACGGGAAGAGCCCAAACCAACAAGCUUGCUUGUUGGGGUUGUAGGACACUCUAUACGGAGUUACAAAAGAACAUGUUAGACGAAUCAUCUGGAAAGAUGAAUCAAAGAAGGUAAUAAUCCUGUAGUCGAAAACAUAUUCUCUCUUGAGUGGAUCCUGAGUACGACGGAGCACGUGAAAUUCCGUCGGAAUCUGGGAGGACCAUCUCCUAAGGCUAAAUACUCUCUAGUGACCGAUAGUGAACCAGUACCGUGAGGGAAAGGUGAAAAGUACCCCGGAAGGGGAGUGAAAGAGAACUUGAAACCG
RNAcentral lists this ribosomal RNA (564 nucleotides) under Staphylococcus epidermidis WI09. RNAcentral describes it as "bacterial LSU rRNA". It matches the Rfam family "Bacterial large subunit ribosomal RNA", at positions 1 to 558 of the family's 2925-position model. Lineage: Bacteria; Bacillati; Bacillota; Bacilli; Caryophanales; Staphylococcaceae. The record is from RNAcentral.